GGGUGAGUGCUCGCACAGCACUAGAUUGGAAAUGCAAGGGAGGGAAGAAGCGGCUACACUGGCACCAGCUCGUGGGUUGCACAACUAUAAAACAGUAAAGGAUUAGCUCAUUCGUAUUAAUGAGCCACACAGCUUUGCUUAUCCAUAUUAUACCUGGAGCAAUGGGACACAGUGAUCACUGACGUCCUACUUUUUCUGUGAACAUCAUCUAAAGGACACUGUGAGGAGGUCACUUCACAGACAAAACACCUUUCAUGUCCUCAGGCCCCACUUCAAAUGGGAAAAUCUAAAGCAUCGGGUACAAAAGGCAGAUUGUGCUUUUGCUCUACAAAGGCUUCUCUGAAAUUCCCAAUGACAUCUAGAAAUACACCUAAAUUUGAAAAAAUGAAACCUUUCCAGUAAACGUGACCACACAUCUGCCAGAAGCUACCCUGAGAAUCACUAUCUUGCAGUGUCCAGAAUACUUAGGCUUUAGACUUCAGCUUUGAACUUACAUAGUAGGAGACUUUGAACAGAACACUGUGAUUAAGGUUCAUAUCAUACCUGUCAUGAAUAUUCAUAAGUUUUGGUCUUGUGCCUUUGCAAUGCACAGAAAAUUAUGGAAUGAAGUAAAGAUCCAAGUUCUGUUAGACCAUUUUUAUGCUAACUUUACCGGAAUAAAAAAUAACUGUCUGCAUAGAAUUAAAAACAUUCAAUUGCACUUUUAUCCAUGAAAAGGUUGAAGGAUGUAGUUAUUGCUACAUCUAAAAUGUGUCUUUGAGUGUCAGUGUUGAAUUGGUUCAACGUCUCUUUUGUUUUUACUAGAAUUUUUAUUAUGUGUGUAAGGACAUAUUUGGUUUUCCUUGUGUUUGGAUUUUGAAAUAUUUUACUGCUGGUGGUAAAAAUUAUUAUUAUUUGCUAAAAAUUAACAGCAGCAGUAGUCCUGUGAAUCAAUUUCACUGUGGUAUUUGAUUCAAGAUGAAGUAAAAAGUGAAUUAGUCAUGUAUCCAAUUUUUGCUUCCAUUACUUUGCUUCAAAUACUUUAUCAUAUAUUGCUGAUGCAUAUUCUCCUAAGUGAAAACAGUAGUUCAACACAUCUUAGCCUGAAAAUGUUCAUGUGGAUGUGAUGAAUAUACAAUACACCUGGAAGGAAUAUCAGCUCAUUUAUAUCUGAGCUGGUGCAUUGUGGACUUCUUUUUAACAUAAUCUUUCUUUAGUGUCACUUUACUUGGGCCAAAAUCAAGUUUGUAUGGAAACUGUUUUACAGCUUGUGUGGAUUGAACUUGUGGUUUUGAUUUGUUUCCUAAUAAGGUGGUCUAGGUUAGUAACUGUGAAAGCUGCCUGUACCUGGCACAUUUUAUGGUCCUUUUGUCAAGAUUAAAGAGAUAAGAAAGGCAAAUCCUCAGGGAACCACUAAACAUGCAGAGUUUUUUUGAUUACCAGUGAGAGAUGAAGUGGAUAAGUUUGAUCCUCAUGACGUGGUGUCUGUUCUGUAAACAAAGAAAAUCUCUCAUCCACAGAUGCUUGUUUGGACAUUUUCCCUAAAAGAUGUUUUCAUAUAUGAAACCCCCAAAAGUUUGAAUGUAUUUUGUACCUUGGCAACCAGAUGAUGUUGAGGCACUGUCAGGGAAGUGCUGAUCCUACAUUUCGUUAUCCUGUCUUUAAUGCAGAGGACAGAGUUAUGCUGUGUUGUAUCUUUUAUAGAGAUAUCAGGGUGCUUUUUUACAACAUGGGAAGGAGAAAUAGAAGAUUCAGCAGGACAGGAACUUUAUGUUAGUAGCCAAAACAAUAAAAUCUGCCCUAGAAUUACCACUUUCCAGCAGCAGUAAUUCCAACAGAGACAUAAAAGUACUGCUGAGCAGCUUAUACAUGAAUAGAUAGGGAUAUAGAAUAGUCCCUUAUAAGUUGAAGGGUAGAGGAAAGGGGUACUAUUUAAUUACUGCAACUGGCAAAAUGCUGUAUGUAAAUGCAUAGAAAGGAGUAAUCACUGGUUGAUGUGUUGCUAAGGUUUCCUUUUCUUGGUUG
Hirundo rustica (Barn swallow) is the source of this 2004-nucleotide long non-coding RNA. RefSeq lists it as uncharacterized. Lineage: Eukaryota; Metazoa; Chordata; Aves; Passeriformes; Hirundinidae. The record is from RefSeq and is a predicted model, not a curated record. The transcript is spliced from 5 exons.